AGAACUUAUAUUUCAACAAAUUAAAUGAUAGGGUAACGCCUUGAAGGAUUUGCGCUGAGACCUCCGAAUAGCAUUACAUGAUAAAGCAUGAGAUGUUAUAAGCUCGGUAAAGUCGUCUGAAGGAAACCUAAACUGAAAAAAGUCUUUGAAUGUAACAUUGGUACAAAAGUGUUAGAGCACACCUGUGUGAAAAGAAGAAUAAAAAGUAAGCAUGGUGACUAAUAGGGCGGGCGUCGA
This 237-nucleotide non-coding RNA is filed under the name pig gut metagenome. The record is from RNAcentral.